GAUGAAGAACGUAGCGAAAUGCGAUAAGUAAUGUGAAUUGCAGAAUUCAGUGAAUCAUCGAAUCUUUGAACGCACAUUGCGCCCGCCAGCAUUCUGGCGGGCAUGCCUGUUCGAGCGUCAUUUCAACCCUCGAGCCCCCCCGGGGGCCUCGGUGUUGGGGGACGGCACACCAGCCGCCCCCGAAAUGCAGUGGCGACCCCGCCGCAGCCUCCCCUGCGUAGUAGCACACACCUCGCACCGGAGCGCGGAGGCGGUCACGCCGUAAAACGCCCAACUUUCUUAGAGUUGACCUCGGAUCAGGUAGGAAUACCCGCUGUACUUAAGCAUAUCAAUAAGCGGAGGA
RNAcentral lists this unclassified non-coding RNA (343 nucleotides) under soil metagenome. RNAcentral describes it as "partial contains 5.8S ribosomal RNA, internal transcribed spacer 2, and large subunit ribosomal RNA". The stretch from base 1 to 120 matches the Rfam family "5.8S ribosomal RNA", at positions 35 to 154 of the family's 154-position model. The record is from RNAcentral.